Molecule: long non-coding RNA, 937 nt
Organism: Dicentrarchus labrax (European seabass)
Lineage: Eukaryota; Metazoa; Chordata; Actinopteri; Moronidae
Exons: 2
Source: RefSeq, a predicted model, not a curated record
UGAUGUCUGACUGAGUUUCACAAAGUAGACAUGAUGAAAGAAAAAGCCUGUUUUGCAUGUUGUACUACUGACCCUGUUCUAUAUUAAUCUGAGAGAGUGCACACUGUGCGGGGAGAGCUGUCAGUGCACCGAGAAAAAAGACAACAGAACGACCAACUACAACCAGUUUAACACUAUCUAUGGAUUUAAACUAGAAUACCUGCAGUGGAAAUACAACAGAGACAGAAGUGAGAACGAGAUCAGUUUAUAGGAUUCUGGCUGUAUCCUCAACCCGGACAUAAGGUCAAAGGUCAAACCUGGGCACGUCUGAUCGGUCUGAACAGAUUUCCUGUUUUUUUCCUGACCUGCUGAGUGCAGUGACAGACUAAUGGGAGAGAAUCUGUCAUUAGGAAUAUGAAGCUGAUCGGAAAAUGCCUCCCUCUGUGGGUUUUUUGUCAGAGGAUCCAUUAAUAAUGUGGUUUGUCUCUCCUGGUCGGCACCAACGAGUCUGCAACAGACAAAAUAAUCAAUGAUGGGGGCCGAUUCUUCGCUGUUUCACUGUGAAAACUGAGUUCAACUGUGAUUGCAGUUUUUCUCCAGUCCGGGUGUGAUGGGGGUGGUGAUGAUGCUGCACGGUGCGCCCCUGUCCUGCCCUGCGCAUCCUCAGCGUGCACCAACCCGGACAACAAAACCCCGAGGGACGCCGAGAGAGAGGAGCAACGCAGCGAAACAAGAAGAGAUGGAGACAGAGAGAGAGAGAGAUGUUGGUGGUGGUGGGGGGAGGUUGGAGAGAAGGGAUGGCCGUCCGGCAUGCAGGACUCACCAGUCGGUGUCCGAGGUCUCGUCAAUGACGUCCUGGUAGGCGGUCAGCAGGGCCAGUCUGUUCUUGCCGAGAUUCACAGCCAUGUUUCUGUCCCUGCAAGCAUCCAGACCGCUGCUGAUGGAGAGAGACACGAAA